This is an RNA transcript of Helicoverpa zea (corn earworm), 4161 nucleotides long. It is a transcript of the gene named vang-like protein 1, with no coding region annotated. The transcript has 7 exons. The record is from RefSeq and is a predicted model, not a curated record. NCBI's taxonomy places the organism in Eukaryota, Metazoa, Arthropoda, Insecta, Lepidoptera, Noctuidae.
GGUUAGUACAAAAUGAAUGAAUCCGUUUGAUCGACAUUCGUGAAAGACGCUCUUAUAAGAAUUUUCCCGUUUUUUUCGAUAAUGCAAAGGUGUUUCUGGUGCUGUGCUGAUGGAUAGGGUCGAGGAGUGGUGGCGGUACAAUGGAAACGGAGUCUGUGAGGUCUGAGCUGAGCGGCCGGUCGCGAAGAAGCUCGAGGCACCGGCAGCACACGCAUCGCAGCACUCGGAGCAACAAAUCACAGAGGAAGGAAUCUUCAGACAACACGAUGGCGCCUUUUCAAACCAGUGUAAACAUCAACCCAGAAAUCGGCAGGGACGGCCAGGAAGUCAUAGAGGUCCAAAUCUUGCCACAAGAUGAAAACUGGGGAGAGAACACCACAGCGGUCACUGGAAACACUUCCGAAGGAUCACAGUCCAUGGAAGAUGUGAGCAACUGGCCCAUGGAGUCAGAUAAUGGCAUAAGCUUUGUCUGCACAAGAUAUUUUGGCACAACUAUAGCUCUUGGCCUAUCCUUUGUGUCCUUUGUGAGUCCUUUAGCAAUGGUAGUGCUGCCAAAGAUUGGCUUCUUCCCAGGGUUGUCAGACAAUAUUGCCAUACAGCCAAGCCAGAGGAUACAAUUGCUGUCAUGCACUGCUGAAUGUAAAGGCAUACUCCUUUCCUUAGCCUUCAAACUAGUAUUACUUGCAAUCGGAGUAUGGGCGGUGUUUCUAAGACCGAGAAAUGCAAUUCUACCAAGAAUAUUCGUGUUCAGAGCCAUGACACUCGUAAUUUUAGCUGUGUGUAUAUUUUCCUACUGGUUGUUCUACAUUGUUCAGAUAACUGAGGCAACGAAAGCCCUCGCAUUAGGUGAGGAAGCAAUGGAUUACAAUGCCUUAGUCUCUUACGUAUCCAGUUUUGCGGAUACUUUAUUGUUUAUACAUUAUAUCGCUGUUAUUUUAAUGGAGAUUAGGCAUUUAGAGCCUGUGUAUUACAUAAAGAUUGUACGAAGUCCUGAUGGGGAGAGCAGAUCAUAUGCGAUUGGACAGCUGAGUAUACAAAGAGCAGCUGUGUGGGUUCUACAGAAAUAUUAUACAGAGUUCCCGAUAUACAAUCCGUACUUGGAGAAGAUACCGAUAUCUAAAUCGCAGAGGAAAGCCCAGUCCAGUAUAAAAUUCUAUGAAGUUGAUGGGUCUACCAAUGCUACGCCUGGACAAGCUAGAUCAGCGUCGGGCUCGGUGGGCGGGUCGGGGCGGCGCCGCGACUCGGGGUCUGCGCACAACGAGCGCUACUACGAGGAGGCGGAGCGCGAGCGCCGCGUGCGCAAGCGCCGCGCCCGUCUGCUGUGCGCCGCCGAGGACGCCUUCGCGCAUGUCAGGCGCGUCAGGGUCUCUACUAAUGGUGGAGCGCUAGGCCCGCGCGAGGCGGCGCAGGCGGUGUUCCCGUCGCUGGCGCGGGCGCUGCAGAAGUACCUCCGCGCCACCCGCCAGCAGCCACGACACUCCGCUGACUCUGUACUCGCCCACCUAGCACGCUGCCUCUCUCAGGACGCAUCACCACGUGCCUUCCUCGAACCAUUCCUAGUCGAAGGUCCAGUGCUCUCCGCUGACCAGGAGACCAGACCCAUACAGAGGUGGUCUCUGAUCUCCGACGAGCUCCUAGCAAGGCCUUUAGCAGACAACAUCGAGUUCCAACUGAGACAAGGUGACAUCUCUCUCAUUUGUACCAUUAAACAGCUGCCCAAAUUCUCACUGACAGAAGAGGUCGUCGACCCCAAGAGCAACCGUUUCGUUUUACGCUUGAACUCGGAAACGUCAGUUUGACAGGAGGAGUUUUGUAGUCGCGAUGACUUUAGACUUGUAUGACAUUCGGAGUACUUUUAGGUUAGGUAGUGAACAGAUUCAUUGAAACAUUUUGCAUUAUUAAAAUAUUGGCAGCUAUUAUUGAUUAGAGAAUUGUAUAUGUAAAUAGAUUAUUUAGCUGAAUAAUGUUCUAAUUGAUAAAUGGUCGCAAUGCUUGGGUUCAAUUUGGCGCGAAAUACAUUUCUGUUCAUUGCCUAUCCAUACGCGUUAUAGGAAUUAGCAAAAACAGCAAAUUUUCUAGAUAAUUUGUGGCUAAAAUUAAAGCUAUAACUUUCGAGAUACGCUGGGCGUGACAUUCUAAGUACUCCGUAAGAGGAGUAUGAUUUUGAAGGAGGCUGAGGUAGUACGUUAAUCGUAAAUUUAGUAUUCUAAAGAAACCGGCCCGGUGCAAGCUUACUAAAGAAUUCUGAAAAAAAUUUGCUAUUAAGAAAAAUAUUCUCUUCUAGACCAGCUGUCAGUUGACACUAAAAAUCAAGCAAAUAAGGGUUAUAUUAUUCAUGAGAAUAGUUAACUUUGGGUAAUGAAGUCUCAAUCAUCUUUUAUACCUUCUAAAAGAAUACUCUUUCCAGUAAUUAAAAAAGAAUCUCAAUGAAUCUCAAGUUAGUUUAAGUAAUGAGGUUUGCCGCCAUUUUGUUAAAUUAGAAAAGACUAGACUGCAUUUAAUGUUUUAUAUCUAGAUAAUAGUUAUAAUUUGUACAUUCGUGUCAUAUUUUACAAAUGUAAUAAGCACAAUUUUAGUAAGGCAUAGAAUAAAUUUAAUAUUUAAUUAAUAGAAUAGGGGUACACAAUGUGGAUUUUUAAAAUGGCUGAAUUAAAAUAAAAACAAGUAUUAAUCUACCAAUAAUUUUAAUAACGUUGCUAUUAUAGUAGAAUCUCAAAAUAUGGCAACACUAUUCCAUUUUAAAACGUGUGAGAACGCAUUUUGUACCUUGUGUCUUAUACCUGGUGAAUGAAUCUGAAUAUUGUAUUGUAUAUUCUUAUAUUAAAUAUUAAUUAUACCAUAUCAUAGGUUUAUAUUUAUUGUGUAAUAGAAAUAGGUGGAUGAAUGAAUAUACUUCGGUGGUUCGCCGCCAAUGCUCGUAGGCAGCUAUUUAAAUGUAGGCUAAAUGUUUAAAUAUUAAGUGGUAUAUUUUAAAAUGCUUAUUAUUUUAUGAGACGUGAAAUUUAAAAUAAUUCACUUUUCUACUAUUUAUUUAUGACGAAAAUUUCGGUAGAUUUUUUAAGCAUUUUAAAAUACACUAAAGUAUGUAAAAGACAGUUGUAAGACUGGUUUUCAUAGAUUUUUGAACUCUUUACAUAAUGCAAGUGAAUGAGGUUGUGCUUAGGACAAUUAUGAAUGUGUGGGUGUCGCUGAAUUGACCAAAGAGCGCUUGGAGUUUGUAGCUAAUUUUAACGUAAAUAAGGUCUAAAAUCGUAUGGCACGUAACCGUGGCAGCUUUUAAUGUGCUGAAAACUGCUUGAAUGCGAAUAUCAAUUUUUAUAGAUUUUUACUUUGGAACAUUUUGAACUUUAUGUGUAAGACUUAAGGUUCAAUAUCAUAUCUGGGCGUUGCCUUGCCUGGUUGACACAUAUUCAGAUAAUAUCUUGCCAGUAUUUCUUCCAUAUCACAAAAAAGGUUUUUAUCAACCUUUUAAAAAUAUUUUGGAUUAAACAUACCUCGUUUUCAGACUUCCAAUUUUGAGAUUAGGCCAGUUUUGGCCGUGCAGCUUUAGCUGUGGACUUCAAUGCUCAAAUAGCAGCCUUUUUGUAAAAUGCUUGUGCCUGCUUAGUUUAAGAAGUAUAUACUGUAGCUAUGUACAAGUAAGUACCUAAUUCCAUGGAAUAUUUACGGUGAGUUGCACCAUUUAACUAAAACCAUAACUAAACAAUUUGCAGUUGUCGUUGUCAUAUCGCCGAUUCGACCAAUGGUCGGCAAGUAUACGGCUGGUUAUUGUUAUAGUUAAAUGGUGCUUCUCGCUCUUAGUAUAAUAGGACAUUUUGACAACUAGUUUAUUGUUUAGAUGAUUUUUUGAAAGAGUUUGGUGUGAUUAUGCUGGUGGCCAGUUUUCGAUGUGAAGUUGAUAAGAAAUUGCAUAUUUGCAAAGUAAACUGAUAAACAAUGUUUUAUCCGAAGUUACUGAACACCACGUGAAUAGUAUUGGCCACUAGCAAUUAAAAAAGGAAUACUUAAUUUAUAAAAAUAUUGAACAAAAGGCUAAUUAAAUAGAUUUGUUAUAUUUUCGAAUGAAAGACUCAACAUGCACAAAGUAUUUGCCUAUAGAUGUAAUUAUAUGCACAAUAUCGUAAUCGUUGUAAAACACUUUUGUAUUUUUUAAAUAAUAUA